Molecule: ribosomal RNA, 497 nt
Filed under: uncultured bacterium
Lineage: Bacteria
Description: bacterial SSU rRNA
Rfam family: Bacterial small subunit ribosomal RNA
Source: RNAcentral
GAUAAACGCUAGCGGCAGGCCUAACACAUGCAAGUCGAACGGUAACAGGGGUAGCAAUAUCUGCUGACGAGUGGCGCACGGGUGAGUAACACGUUUGCAACUAACCUUUGACUGGGGGAUAGCCCGGAGAAAUUCGGAUUAAUACCCCAUAAUAUUUAUAGGAGGCAUCUUUUAUAAAUUAAAGCUUCGGUGGUCAAAGACGGGCAUGCGUACCAUUAGCUUGUUGGUGAGGUAACGGCUCACCAAGGCAACGAUGGUUAGGGGGUCUGAGAGGAUGGUCCCCCAACUGGUACUGAGACACGGACCAGACUCCUACGGGAGGCAGCAGUGAGGAAUAUUGGGCAAUGGACGCAAGUCUGACCCAGCCAUGCCGCGUGCAGGAUGAAUGCCCUAUGGGUUGUAAACUGCUUUUGUACAGAAAGAAAUCACCGGACGUGUCCGGUGUUGACGGUACUGUAUGAAUAAGCAUCGGCUAACUCCGUGCCAGCAGCCGCGGU